GGAUUACAGGCGCAUGCCACCACGCCCGGCUAAUUUUUUUGUAUUUUUAGUAGAGACGGGGUUUCACCGUGUUAACCAGGAUGGUCUUCAACUCCUGACCUCAAGUAAUCUGCCCGCCUCGGCCUCCCGAAGUGCUGGGAUUACAGGCGUGACCCACCGCGCCCGGCAGAUGAGGAAACUGACCUUUAGAAAGAAUGUUUUUCAGACUGAACCUAUCCAGAAUUGUGAUUCAUGACUCACCAGAUCCUGUGGCCCCCCUAUCCAGGGGUGCACUCAGCACAUGAGGACGCCUGUGAUUCUGCCCCUAUGAGUUCAUCCCCAACCAGUCAGCAAUACCCAUUCCUUAACCCCCUGCCUGGCAAACUGUCUGGGAGACUGAUUUGAGUGAUAACUCCAAUUCUCUUGUGUGGGCCAGCCACAUAUCAAUAAAACUCUUUCUCUACUGCAAUGCCAUGGUCUCAGUGGAUUGAUUUUGUCUGUACACUGGGGCAGGAAGAACCCAUCAGGG
RNAcentral lists this long non-coding RNA (508 nucleotides) under Homo sapiens (human). RNAcentral's name for it is "HSALNT0105402". The record is from RNAcentral. Lineage: Eukaryota; Metazoa; Chordata; Mammalia; Primates; Hominidae.